GACGUAGGGUGCAAGCGUUGUCCGGAAUUAUUGGGCGUAAAGAGCUUGUAGGCGGUUUGUCGCGUCUGCCGUGAAAAUUCGAGGCUCAACCUCGAACUUGCGGUGGGUACGGGCAGACUAGAGUGUGGUAGGGGAGACUGGAAUUCCUGGUGUAGCGGUGAAAUGCGCAGAUAUCAGGAGGAACACCGAUGGCGAAGGCAGGUCUCU
RNAcentral lists this ribosomal RNA (207 nucleotides) under uncultured bacterium. RNAcentral describes it as "partial 16S ribosomal RNA". It matches the Rfam family "Bacterial small subunit ribosomal RNA", at positions 524 to 730 of the family's 1533-position model. The record is from RNAcentral.